GUGAAGAAGGCUUUUGGGUUGUAAAAGUAGGUUUUUAGGGAAGAACAAGGUAUAGUUGAAUAAGCGGGCACCUUGACGGUACCUACCCAAAAAGCCCCGGCUAACUACGUGCCAGCAGCCGCGGUAAUACGUAGGUGGCAAGCGUUAUUCGGAAUUAUUGGGCGUAAAGCGCGCGCAGGUGGUUUGUUAAGUAAGAUGUGAAAGCCCACGGCUCAACCGUGGAGGGUCAUUGGAAACUGGGAGACUUGAGUGCAGAAGAGGAAAGUGGAAUUCCAUGUGUAGCAGGUGAAAUGCGUAGAGAUAUGGAGGAACACCAGUGGGGAAGCAGCCUUUCUGGUCUGUACUACAU
RNAcentral lists this ribosomal RNA (349 nucleotides) under Bacillus sp. 218. RNAcentral's name for it is "bacterial SSU rRNA". It matches the Rfam family "Bacterial small subunit ribosomal RNA", at positions 405 to 746 of the family's 1533-position model. The record is from RNAcentral. Lineage: Bacteria; Bacillati; Bacillota; Bacilli; Caryophanales; Bacillaceae.